UUUCUAUCUCCGCCCUGGGGUCAUUGUCAGGGAUCUGGAUCUGAAGAAGCCAAUUUAUCAGAGGACUGUAGCCUAUGGCCACUUUGGUAGGGACAGCUUCCCAUGGGAAGUGCCCAAAAAGCUUAAAUAUUGAAAGUGUUAGCCUUUUCUCCCCAGACUUGUUGGCAUAGGAUACAGAGAAGCCUUCAAGCUCUGAGGGAAAGGGCCCUCCUUCCUAAAUUUUCCUGUCCUCUUUCAGCUCCUGAUCCGUUGCAGUCACUCUAGUCAAUGACAUGAAUUUUAGCUUUUGUGGGGGACUGUAAGUUGGGCUUGCUAUUCUGUCCCUAGGUGUUUUGUUCACCAUUAUAAUGAAUUUAGUGAGCAUAGGUGAUCCAUGUAACUGCCUAGAAACAACACUGUAGUAAAUAAUGCUUUGAAAUUGAACCUUUGUGCCCUAUCACCCAAUGCUCCAAAGUCAUAAUUGCAUUGACUUUCCCACCAGAUGCUGAAAAUGUCCUUGUAAUACGCACGUAAAGUACUUGUAGUUCCACUUAUAGCCUCUGUCUGGCAAUGCCACAGCCCUGUCAGCAUGAAUUUGUAAUGUCUUGAGCUCUAUUAUGAAUGUGAAGCCUUCCCCUUAUCCUCCCUGUAACUUGAUCCAUUUCUAAUUAUGUAGCUCUUUGUCAGGGAGUGUUCCCUAUCCAAUCAAUCUUGCAUGUAACGCAAGUUCCCAGUUGG
RNAcentral lists this long non-coding RNA (717 nucleotides) under Homo sapiens (human). RNAcentral's name for it is "non-protein coding lnc-CCDC80-4:1". The stretch from base 142 to 206 matches the Rfam family "MAT2A 3'UTR stem loop A". The record is from RNAcentral. Lineage: Eukaryota; Metazoa; Chordata; Mammalia; Primates; Hominidae.